AGAGAGAGACAUGCGCGCAUAUCAAUAAGCGGAGGAAAAGAAACUAACAAGGAUUCCCCUAGUAACGGCGAGUGAAGCGGGAAGAGCUCAAAUUUGAAAUCUUAAAGGGUUUCCCUUUACGAAUUGUAGUUUAAAGAAGUGUUUUCUGUUGAGGUUUUGGUAAAAGUUCUUUGGAAUAGGACAUCAUAGAGGGUGAGAAUCCCGUAUUUGACCUUUACUUUCAACUUUGUGAUACACUUCCAAAGAGUCGGAUUGUUUGGGAAUGCAGUCCAAAAUGGGUGGUAGAAUUUCAUCUAAAGCUAAAUAUUGGCGAGAGACCGAUAGCGAACAAGUACCGUGAGGGAAAGAUGAAAAGAACUUUGAAAAGAGAGUUAAACAGUACGUGAAAUUGUCAAAAGGGAAGCGUUUGACACCAGUGUUGUUUUUCUGAAAAUCAAUUAAAGAACUGUUUAUGCUAAGUUGUUUAGACUUUAUCAGCUAACUGUUUAGUUUUGAGCUUUUCUUUAAUGCACUUUUCAGUUAACAAGUCAACAUCAAUUUCUUUUGCUGUAAAAAAGCUUGAGGAAGGUGGCUUGAGAUUCGUCUUAAGUGUUUAUAGCCUCUUGCCUAUGCAGUCGGAGAGAUUGAGGUCUGCAGCGUAGAUCCUUCGGGGCUAAAUGCAUUUGUGCUAAGUUAUAGCAUUUUAUAGACAACUUGUUGACUAUGAUUUGUCUUGUAGCUUACUCGCUUAUGUUAUUUUACCUACGCUUAGGAUGUUGAAGACUCUACAGAGAUA
This 775-nucleotide ribosomal RNA is filed under the name uncultured Neocallimastigales. RNAcentral describes it as "partial large subunit ribosomal RNA". It matches the Rfam family "Eukaryotic large subunit ribosomal RNA", at positions 23 to 633 of the family's 3401-position model. The record is from RNAcentral. Lineage: Eukaryota; Fungi; Neocallimastigomycota; Neocallimastigomycetes; Neocallimastigales.